Long non-coding RNA from Magnolia sinica, 1231 nucleotides. RefSeq lists it as uncharacterized. The record is from RefSeq and is a predicted model, not a curated record. The transcript has 4 exons. NCBI's taxonomy places the organism in Eukaryota, Viridiplantae, Streptophyta, Magnoliopsida, Magnoliales, Magnoliaceae.
CAGAGGAAUUUCCAAAUCCCUCUUUCGACCGCCUUUUCUUCCCCUCUGUUCCCGCUUUCGAGAGCACUCUCUUCAUCUUCCGAGCGUCCUUCUGCCUUGCGGUGGCGUGAUGAUUCAGACCGUUCAUCCAAAAGCUCGUAUCUAGAAGCCGUGAAUCGUUCGAGCGCCCUUCUUUCGAACGAACAUUCUGAGUGAUUGGAGAUCAUCAUAUUUCAUGCUAAGAAACUUCGUGUUUGGUGUCGGCUUCCAAAUGGGCAAUGGAAGAUGGGAAGGAUACAAUCAAUUUCAGGGGUGGAUACUGUUAUUUCGCUUUCAUAUGGGGAAAUGAGUAAAUCACUCGUGGGUUUCUUUUAAGCAACAACUAUCGAGUGCCUUAAGCUGGUUGGAUUAACUAUAUCCUGAUUUUACAAGCAGCAUGAAAUGAAGAAAUUCACAAAGAUGACUGUGAAAAUGAUGAAGGAAGAGAAGUUGUACGCAUCUCAGGGUGGUCAUAUUGUCCUAUCACAGGUUUGCCUCUUUUUGUAAGAUAAACAAUUCUCCAAAUCCAAUUUUGGUGGGCCUUGUUUAAUCUUGUUAAUUGGAUUUUACUCUUUGUCGAGUUCAGAUAGAAAAUGAAUGACAACACAAUCCAGAUUGCCUUUAAAGAUAAGGGGGCAUCCUAUGUUCAGUGGGCUGGGAAUAUGGCGGUGGUGCUAGGGACAGGUGUGCCAUGGGUUAUGUGCAAGCAAAGGAUUCUCCUGAUCCAGUGAUCAGUGCUUGCAAUGGAAGGAACCGCGGAGAUACUUUCACUGGUUCUAAUAAACCCUACAAGCUUGUGCUAUGGACUGAGAACUGACUGCUAAGUAAGUACAACUUCUUAAUAAUAAGCCUUAAAUAAUUAGUGCAUUGGACCAUUCGAUUAAUUAAUGAUUAUAUUACCAAUGAUAAUACUAAAACAACAACAAUAAUGGACCGGGGGCUAUCUUUUAAACUGGAUACGAUUUUAACGUUGAAACUCUUCCUCCAUACGCAUUGAAUACAUGCUGAUCAUGGAAAAUUAAAUAGUGAACAAUUGCAUGGAUUGAAAAUAUUCUGAAAAUUUCGGUGAUUAGACGAUCUCAACAGUUUGAGCAUGUAGAACUUGGACUGCUGACAAUUUAUCCUUCAUAACUGUGAAGUUCAUUGUCAUCAACUGGAUGUUUAUGGUCGUCUUAUUAGCAAGUUUGGUGAUAUGUCCAUCUACACUAUGGGC